CCCUUAGAUGUUCUGGGCUGCACGCGCGCUACACUGCUGCAAUUAACGGGUUUUCUGUGCCGAAAGGCUUGGGGAAUCCUUUGAAUAUGCGGCGUGAUGGGGAUAGAAUAUUGUAAUUAUUACUCUUCAACGAGGAAUUCCUAGUAAGCGCGGGUCAGCAGCCCGCGCUGAUUACGUCCCUGCCCUUUGUACACACCGCCCGUCGCUACUACCGAUUGAAUGGUUUAGUGAGGCCUCGGGACUGGCGCGCUCGAGUAGCAAUACACCUGCGCGCCGGGAACUUGGUCAAACUUGAUCAUUUAGAGGAAGUAAAAGUCGUANCA
Molecule: ribosomal RNA, 323 nt
Filed under: uncultured eukaryote
Lineage: Eukaryota
Description: partial 18S ribosomal RNA
Rfam family: Eukaryotic small subunit ribosomal RNA
Source: RNAcentral